AACGAACGCUGGCGGCAGGCCUAACACAUGCAAGUCGAGCGCGCCCUUCGGGGUGAGCGGCGGACGGGUGAGUAACGCGUGGGAACGUGCCCUUUUCUACGGAAUAGCCUCGGGAAACUGAGAGUAAUACCGUAUACGCCCUUUGGGGGAAAGAUUUAUCGGAAAAGGAUCGGCCCGCGUUGGAUUAGGUAGUUGGUGGGGUAAUGGCCUACCAAGCCGACGAUCCAUAGCUGGGUUGAGAGGAUGAUCAGCCACCCUGGGACUGAGACACGGCCCAGACUCCUACGGGAGGCAGCAGUGGGGAAUCUUAGACAAUGGGGGCAACCCUGAUCUAGCCAUGCCGCGUGAGUGAUGAAUGCCUUAGGGUUGUAAAGCUCUUUCAGCUGGGAAGAUAAUGACGGUACCAGCAGAAGAAGCCCCGGCUAACUCCGUG
This 433-nucleotide ribosomal RNA is filed under the name uncultured bacterium. Its description in RNAcentral is "partial 16S ribosomal RNA". It matches the Rfam family "Bacterial small subunit ribosomal RNA", at positions 29 to 507 of the family's 1533-position model. The record is from RNAcentral.